AGAGUUUGAUCCUGGCUCAGGAUGAACGCUGGCGGCGUGCCUAACACAUGCAAGUCGAGCGAGAAAUUCACAGAGGAAACUUCGGUAGAAUCUGAGGAUGGAAAGCGGCGGACGGGUGAGUAACGCGUAGGCAACCUGCCCUUAGCAGAGGGAUAGCCAUUGGAAACGAUGAUUAAAACCUCAUAAUACCGCACUGUCACAUGAGAGAGCGGUCAAAGAUUUAUCGGCAAAGGAUGGGCCUGCGUCUGAUUAGCUAGUUGGUGAGGUAACGGCUCACCAAGGCGACGAUCAGUAGCCGACCUGAGAGGGUGAACGGCCACAUUGGAACUGAGACACGGUCCAA
RNAcentral lists this ribosomal RNA (343 nucleotides) under uncultured bacterium. RNAcentral describes it as "bacterial SSU rRNA". It matches the Rfam family "Bacterial small subunit ribosomal RNA", at positions 8 to 334 of the family's 1533-position model. The record is from RNAcentral.